GGGGACGUAGCUCAGUUGGGAGAGCGGCUGGUUCGCAAUCAGCAGGUCGAGGGUUCGAAUCCCUUCGUCUCCA
Molecule: transfer RNA, 73 nt
Filed under: Phycisphaerae bacterium
Lineage: Bacteria; Pseudomonadati; Planctomycetota; Phycisphaerae
Also listed under: 1 other name
Description: tRNA-Ala
Rfam family: tRNA
About the family: Transfer RNA (tRNA) molecules are approximately 80 nucleotides in length. Their secondary structure includes four short double-helical elements and three loops (D, anti-codon, and T loops). Further hydrogen bonds mediate the characteristic L-shaped molecular structure. tRNAs have two regions of fundamental functional importance: the anti-codon, which is responsible for specific mRNA codon recognition, and the 3' end, to which the tRNAs corresponding amino acid is attached (by aminoacyl-tRNA synthetases). tRNAs cope with the degeneracy of the genetic code in two manners: having more than one tRNA (with a specific anti-codon) for a particular amino acid; and 'wobble' base-pairing, i.e. permitting non-standard base-pairing at the 3rd anti-codon position.
Source: RNAcentral